UGAGGAAUAUUGGUCAAUGGGCGUAAGCCUGAACCAGCCAAGUCGUGUGAAGGAUGAAGGUUCUAUGGAUCGUAAACUUCUUUUAUAGGGGAAUAAAGUGCACCACGAGUGGUGUUUUGUAUGUACCCUAGGAAUAAGCAUCGGCUAACUCCGUGCCAGCAGCCGCGGUAAUACGUAGGUGGCAAGCGUUGUCCGGAAUUACUGGGUGUAAAGGGAGCGCAGGCGGGAAGUCAAGUCAGCUGUGAAAACUAUGGGCUCAACCCAUAGACUGCAGUUGAAACUGAUUUUCUUGAGUGAAGUAGAGGUAGGCGGAAUUCCGAGUGUAGCGGUGAAAUGCGUAGAUAUUCGGAGGAACACCAGUGGCGAAGGCGGCCUACUGGGCUUUAACUGACGCUGAGGCUCGAAAGUGUGGGGAGCAAACA
RNAcentral lists this ribosomal RNA (422 nucleotides) under uncultured bacterium. RNAcentral's name for it is "bacterial SSU rRNA". It matches the Rfam family "Bacterial small subunit ribosomal RNA", at positions 355 to 774 of the family's 1533-position model. The record is from RNAcentral.